RNAcentral lists this ribosomal RNA (301 nucleotides) under uncultured bacterium. RNAcentral's name for it is "partial 16S ribosomal RNA". It matches the Rfam family "Bacterial small subunit ribosomal RNA", at positions 509 to 808 of the family's 1533-position model. The record is from RNAcentral.
CAGCAGCCGCGGUAAUACAGAGGGUGCGAGCGUUAAUCGGAUUUACUGGGCGUAAAGCGUGCGUAGGCGGCUUUUUAAGUCGGAUGUGAAAUCCCUGAGCUUAACUUAGGAAUUGCAUUCGAUACUGGGAAGCUAGAGUAUGGGAGAGGAUGGUAGAAUUCCAGGUGUAGCGGUGAAAUGCGUAGAGAUCUGGAGGAAUACCGAUGGCGAAGGCAGCCAUCUGGCCUAAUACUGACGCUGAGGUACGAAAGCAUGGGGAGCAAACAGGAUUAGAUACCCCUGUAGUCCCUGUCUCUAUACC